GUGAUAUUUAUCCAAACUUUAUUCAGCCCCAGUUCUCCAGUCUCAAUUUGCUCUAGUUGCUUUUGCUGCUGCACCAAAUCUUCAUUCAGUUUGGGGAUUUCUUGGAAGGAUGUCUUUUGAUUAGACUCCAUGGUUCGGAACUUUUCCUUGAUCACAUCCAGGUCCUCCUUGAGAGCCACCUGCAUCCAGACGAGGCCCACACACGCCACCACGCAGGCAGCCAGAAUGACGAAAGCACAGAGAGGGUAACAGAACUUGCAGCAGCGUAGGUAGUCCCCCUUGGUGCAGCGGCCCCGUCCCCCCGCCGCCGCGAACUCGUCCUCCUCAGAGCUGGACUCGGAGUCGGAUGCGGGCGGCUCGGUGCGCAGCAGCCGGUGCCCCGAGCCCUUCUUGGCGGGCUUCUUCCUGCGGCCGUCGGCGGCCAGGCCGAUGAGGGCGUUCAGCUCCUUGCGCUUCUUCAUCCUCUUGUGCGGCGUGGGGGGCGGCGGAGCGGCCGGCGGCUGCCCCUCGCUGCCGCCACCGCCUCCUCCUCCUUCCGCCGCCGCGGCCCCCGCCGCCUCCUCGCCCCGACUCGCCAGCUCCGCGGGGCCCCGCCGCGGCUACAGGCGCUGCGCGGGGCCGCCGCUGCUCCCCCGCCGGCCCCGUGCAGCCCCGUCCCGGUCCCCCGCCCGCGCCAUGGCAGCUGCGGGCGCCGCCGCGGCCCGCCCCUCGCCCGCCAGCAAGCCGCGCUCCCGUUGGGCGGCGGGACCCGCCCCGCCUCUCCGUUGGGGUGAAAGUGGCGUGUGAGAACGAGAGUUCGAAUCCCGCCUCCUUCAGGGGCAACCCGCCGCUUGCAGAGCCGCUGAGGAGAUAUUGGUGGGAGAUGUCUCGGUUUCGAAUCCCACCUCCACCAGGGCGGCCCUGCUGCUGUGGAGGCAGCCCUUUACCAGCAUCUAUAGAGAGGGUAUUCCCUACAAAUACCGCUUGUGGGCACAGUGAAAUGUUAUCUUGAUGCUAAGAUACUUUUAUACUUGAGGCCGUUACUUCUCACCCUAUUGCUAGGCUCAGGGAAGACCUUAUUUGCUCUCUACAGCUCUCUGAAAGGAGGCUGUGGUGAGGUGGGCAUCAG
This 1108-nucleotide long non-coding RNA is filed under the name Gallus gallus (chicken). Lineage: Eukaryota; Metazoa; Chordata; Aves; Galliformes; Phasianidae. The record is from RNAcentral.